CCUACGGGUGGCUGCAGUGAGGAAUAUUGGUCAAUGGACGAGAGUCUGAACCAGCCAAGUAGCGUGAAGGAUGACUGCCCUAUGGGUUGUAAACCUCUUUUAUAUGGGAAUAAAACAUGGUAUGUAUAGCCUCAUGUCUGUACCAUAUGAAUAAGCAUCGGCUAACUCCGUGCCAGCAGCCGCGGUAAUACGGAGGAUGCGAGCGUUAUCCGGAUUUAUUGGGUUUAAAGGGUGCGUAGGUGGUUUGUUAAGUAAGUGGUAAAAGUUUGGGGCUUAACCUUGAAUUGCCAUUAAUACUGGCAGUCUUGAGUACAGACGAGGUAGGCGGAAUAAGUGAAGUAGCGGUGAAAUGCUUAGAUAUCACGUAGAACUCCGAUAGCGAAGGCAGCUCACCGGACUGCGACUGACGCUGAUGCACGAGAGUGUGGGUAUCAAACAGGAUUAGAUACCCGUGUAGUC
RNAcentral lists this ribosomal RNA (459 nucleotides) under uncultured bacterium. Its description in RNAcentral is "partial 16S ribosomal RNA". It matches the Rfam family "Bacterial small subunit ribosomal RNA", at positions 338 to 795 of the family's 1533-position model. The record is from RNAcentral.